CAGAAGUUACCUUCAAGCAAUUUUGGAAAAACUUGUAGAGAAUACAAAGAUGCAGAGUGCAACAAAACUCAAGAGCAUAAUCCGAGAUUCGAAGGAAACUUUGGUGGAGUCAGAUCUAAGGAACAGAAUGCAGCCUUUGCAAGAUCUUCUUAUAAAGACAAUAGAUCAUUUACAAUCUGUUGUUGAACCUCAUGUGUUCAUAGCCAUUUGCCGAGGUUUUUGGGAUCGCAUGGGACAGGAGAUACUACGCAUUCUGCAAAAUAGGGGAG
Molecule: unclassified non-coding RNA, 269 nt
Filed under: Hevea brasiliensis (rubber tree)
Lineage: Eukaryota; Viridiplantae; Streptophyta; Magnoliopsida; Malpighiales; Euphorbiaceae
Source: RNAcentral